Molecule: ribosomal RNA, 887 nt
Filed under: uncultured Helotiales
Lineage: Eukaryota; Fungi; Ascomycota; Leotiomycetes; Helotiales
Description: eukaryotic LSU rRNA
Rfam family: 5.8S ribosomal RNA (bases 589-741)
Source: RNAcentral
CGAGAAAACCCCCCCCCCCUUUCCCGUUUUUUUAAGAGAAAAAAAAAUUCAACAAGGGUUUCCGUAGGUGACCCUCCGAAAAGAUCAUUGUUGUAUCUGACCGGUCCUUUGCCAUAAAACCAGCUUGCGGUAAGCAAAUCGAUCAAACCACCCUGUGCUCAUUUAAAUUGACUGGGACCUCCUAACGCCCGUUACACCAACCGCCCGGGGAAACUCGGGCGGGGCCCUCCUGGGGUGUCAAGAAAGUACAGGAUGGGAACAAUGGACAAUCCGCAACGAAGACCCUACCGGCUCCCGCCCACGGGUACCGUUCACAGACUAGCUGAUUGUGGGCGGGGCGAUCGCGCCCUGUCUAAGAUAUAGUCGGACUCUACCCGAAAGGAUACAGGAUACCCUGUCCGUAUGUGAACCUGCGGAAGGAUCAUUAAAGAAUGCCCCGUUUUUGAAAUGGGUUCUAUUCCCAAACCGUGUAUACAUACCUUUGUUGCUUUGGCAGGCCGCUUUCGGGCGUCUGCUCACGCUGACCGCGCCUGCCAGAGGACCCAAACUCCUUUGUUUAGUGAUGUCUGACUACUAUAUAUUAGUUAAAACUUUCGACAACGGAUCUCUUGAUUCUGGCAUCGAUGAAAACGCAGCGAAAUGCGAUAAGUAAUGUGAAUUGCGAAAUUCACUGAAUCAUCGAAUCUUUGAACGCACAUUGCGCCCGCUGGUAUUCCGGCGGGCAUGCCUGUUCUAGCGUCAUUAUGACCAAUCACGCUCUGCUUGGCCUUGAGCCCGCUGUACCAGCGGCCCGUGACAUUAGUGGAGCUGCCGUCUGGUUCUAGCGUACGAAUAUUUCUCGCUAUAAGGUCCAGUCGUUUCCCGCCACAACCCUCUACUUUCGUAAG